RNAcentral lists this ribosomal RNA (868 nucleotides) under human gut metagenome. Its description in RNAcentral is "bacterial SSU rRNA". It matches the Rfam family "Bacterial small subunit ribosomal RNA", at positions 32 to 908 of the family's 1533-position model. The record is from RNAcentral.
AACGCUGGCGGCGUGCCUAACACAUGCAAGUCGAGCGGAGACAGUGAGUAGCUUGCUAUGAGCUGUUUUAGCGGCGGACGGGUGAGUAACGCGUGAGCAACCUUUCCCAGACAGGGGAAUAACACACCGAAAGGUGUACUAAUACCGCAUAAGACCACGGUUUCACAUGGAACUGAGGUAAAAGAUUUAUCGGUUUGGGGUGGGCUCGCGUCCGAUUAGGUAGUUGGUGAGGUAACGGCCCACCAAGCCGACGAUCGGUAGCCGACCUGAGAGGGUGAUCGGCCACAUUGGGACUGAGACACGGCCCAAACUCCUACGGGAGGCAGCAGUGGGGAAUAUUGGGCAAUGGGGGGAACCCUGACCCAGCAACGCCGCGUGGAGGAAGAAGGUUUUCGGAUCGUAAACUCCUGUCCUUGGAGACGAGUAGAAGACGGUAUCCAAGGAGGAAGCCCCGGCUAACUACGUGCCAGCAGCCGCGGUAAUACGUAGGGGGCAAGCGUUGUCCGGAAUAAUUGGGCGUAAAGGGCGCGUAGGCGGCUCGGUAAGUCUGGAGUGAAAGUCCUGCUUUUAAGGUGGGAAUUGCUUUGGAUACUGUCGGGCUUGAGUGCAGGAGAGGUUAGUGGAAUUCCCAGUGUAGCGGUGAAAUGCGUAGAGAUUGGGAGGAACACCAGUGGCGAAGGCGACUAACUGGACUGUAACUGACGCUGAGGCGCGAAAGUGUGGGGAGCAAACAGGAUUAGAUACCCUGGUAGUCCACACUGUAAACGAUGAAUGCUAGGUGUAGGGGGUAUCGACCCCUUCUGUGCCGCAGUCAACACAAUAAGCAUUCCGCCUGGGGAGUACGGCCGCAAGGUUGAAACUCAAAGGA